RNAcentral lists this ribosomal RNA (507 nucleotides) under uncultured bacterium. Its description in RNAcentral is "bacterial SSU rRNA". It matches the Rfam family "Bacterial small subunit ribosomal RNA", at positions 1 to 507 of the family's 1533-position model. The record is from RNAcentral.
ACGAGUUUGAUCAUGGCUCAGAUUGAACGUUGGCGGCAGGCCUAAUACAUGCAAGUCGAACGGCAGCACAGAGAGCUUGCUCGUUGGGUGGCGAGUGGCGGACGGGUGAGUAACGCGUAGGAAUCUACCCAGUAGGCGGGGAUAGCCCGGGGAAACUCGGAUUAAUACCGCAUACCGCCCCGACGGGGGAAAGGCCGGGAUCUUCGGACCGGUCACUAUUGGAGGAGCCUGCGUUGGAUUAGCUUGUUGGUGGGGUAAAGGCCUACCAAGGCUACGAUCCAUAGCUGGUCUGAGAGGACGAUCAGCCACACUGGAACUGAGACACGGUCCAGACUCCUACGGGAGGCAGCAGUAGGGAAUAUUGUACAAUGGGCGAAAGCCUGAUCCAGCCAUGCCGCGUGAUAGAUGAAGGCCCUCUGGGUUGUAAAUAUCUUUUAUCUGGGAAGAAACUCCUCUAUUCUUAGAGGCCUGACGGUACCAGAGGAAUAAGCACCGGCUAACUCCGUG